Molecule: ribosomal RNA, 380 nt
Filed under: uncultured eukaryote
Lineage: Eukaryota
Description: partial 18S ribosomal RNA
Rfam family: Eukaryotic small subunit ribosomal RNA
Source: RNAcentral
CAAUAGCGUAUAUUCAAGUUGUUGCAGUUAAAAAGCUCGUAGUUGGAUUUGUGGCGUACGGUGUGUUCCGGGCACUUGUUGUCUGAGUAACCUGCUGUUGCCAUCCUUGGGUGGAACCUGUGUGGCAUUAGGUUGUCGUGCAGGGGAUGCCCAUCAUUUACUGUGAAAAAAUUAGAGUGUUCAAAGCAGGCUUAUGCCGUUGAAUAUAUUAGCAUGGAAUAAUGAGAUAGGACUUUCUUGCUAUUUUGUUGGUUUGCGCAAAGAGGUAAUGAUUAAUAGGGACAGUUGGGGGUAUUCGUAUUCCAUUGUCAGAGGUGAAAUUCUUGGAUUUUUGGAAGACGAACUACUGCGAAAGCAUUUACCAAGGAUGUUUUCAUUAA